AAAACCCGGUACUCAGUUCAGAUUGCAGGCUGCAACUCGCCUGCAUGAAGUCGGAAUCGCUAGUAAUCGCGGAUCAGCACGCCGCGGUGAAUACGUUCCCGGGCCUUGUACACACCGCCCGUCACACCACGGAAGUUGGGAGUACCCAAAGUAGGUUGCCUAACCGCAAGGAGGGCGCUUCCUAAGGUAAGACUGAUGACUGGGGUGAAGUCGUAACAAGGUAAC
Molecule: ribosomal RNA, 225 nt
Filed under: uncultured bacterium
Lineage: Bacteria
Description: partial 16S ribosomal RNA
Rfam family: Bacterial small subunit ribosomal RNA
Source: RNAcentral